UGUCCUGAUAGUGCCAGGGGAACAGGCCCAG
RNAcentral lists this non-coding RNA (31 nucleotides) under Rattus norvegicus (Norway rat). The record is from RNAcentral. Lineage: Eukaryota; Metazoa; Chordata; Mammalia; Rodentia; Muridae.